RNAcentral lists this signal recognition particle RNA (96 nucleotides) under Acholeplasmataceae bacterium. Its description in RNAcentral is "signal recognition particle sRNA small type". It matches the Rfam family "Bacterial small signal recognition particle RNA". Rfam says of the family: The signal recognition particle (SRP) is a universally conserved ribonucleoprotein involved in the co-translational targeting of proteins to membranes. Archaeal SRP consists of a 7S RNA and homologues of the eukaryotic SRP19 and SRP54 proteins. The record is from RNAcentral. RNAcentral also lists the same sequence under 1 other name. Lineage: Bacteria; Bacillati; Mycoplasmatota; Mollicutes; Acholeplasmatales; Acholeplasmataceae.
UUAAUACCUAUAUCCAAUGACCAAGGAGUGAACCAGGUCAGGUCGUGACAGAAGCAGCCUUAAGCUCUCUUGUCAUGUGGAUAUAGGUACCUAAGA